Molecule: ribosomal RNA, 371 nt
Filed under: uncultured Methanolinea sp.
Lineage: Archaea; Methanobacteriati; Methanobacteriota; Methanomicrobia; Methanomicrobiales; Methanoregulaceae
Description: bacterial SSU rRNA
Rfam family: Archaeal small subunit ribosomal RNA
Source: RNAcentral
GCUUGACGUAGCUGAGAGGAGGUGCAUGGCCGUCGUCAGUUCGUACUGUGAAGCAUCCUGUUAAGUCAGGCAACGAGCGAGACCCACGCCAACAGUUGCCAGCAUGUCCUCCGGGGAUGAUGGGGACACUGUUGGGACCGCCUCUGCUAAAGAGGAGGAAGGAAUGGGCAACGGUAGGUCAGCAUGCCCCGAAUUAUCCGGGCUACACGCGGGCUACAAUGGUCAGGACAAUGGGUAUCAACACCGAAAGGUGAAGGCAAUCUCCUAAACCUGUCCUUAGUUCGGAUUGUGGGCUGCAACUCGCCCACAUGAAGCUGGAAUCUGUAGUAAUCGCGUCUCAAAAUGGCGCGGUGAAUAUGUCCCUGCUCCUU